Molecule: long non-coding RNA, 225 nt
Organism: Myotis davidii
Lineage: Eukaryota; Metazoa; Chordata; Mammalia; Chiroptera; Vespertilionidae
Exons: 2
Source: RefSeq, a predicted model, not a curated record
CAGAUAUUGAACCCUGAACCACGCAGGACGUGGAAGGAAACAUUUACUACAUCUGGCACCCGAACAGGGACUCUGGAAGUGAAGGUUUUGCUAGAGCGAAAAAACGAAGUUUCACUGGCAAAAGUGAGGAACGAAGAAUUCACCAUAAAGAAAACAACUUCAAGACCAUGUGGAUUCCUGCAACAGAGAGGAAUUCUCAGGAAUGCUCCAGCCAUGAAGACAAGA